UACGGAGGGUGCGAGCGUUGUCCGGAAUCACUGGGCGUAAAGAGCGCGUAGGCGGCUAGAUAAGUCCGGUGUGAAAGUCACAGGCUCAACCUGUGAAUGCCGCUGGAAACUGUCUGGCUAGAGUCCGGAAGGGGCGAGUGGAAUUCCUGGUGUAGCGGUGAAAUGCGCAGAUAUCAGGAGGAACACCAAUGGCGAAGGCAGCUCGCUGGGACGGUACUGACGCUGAGGCGCGAAAGCGUGGGGAGCAAACAGG
This 253-nucleotide ribosomal RNA is filed under the name uncultured bacterium. Its description in RNAcentral is "partial 16S ribosomal RNA". It matches the Rfam family "Bacterial small subunit ribosomal RNA", at positions 524 to 776 of the family's 1533-position model. The record is from RNAcentral.